AGUGAACGCUGGCGGUAGGCCUAACACAUGCAAGUCGAACGGCAGCACAGUAAGAGCUUGCUCUUACGGGUGGCGAGUGGCGGACGGGUGAGGAAUACAUCGGAAUCUACUUUUUCGUGGGGGAUAACGUAGGGAAACUUACGCUAAUACCGCAUACGACCUACGGGUGAAAGCAGGGGAUCUUCGGACCUUGCGCGAUUGAAUGAGCCGAUGUCGGAUUAGCUAGUUGGCGGGGUAAAGGCCCACCAAGGCGACGAUCCGUAGCUUGUCUGAGAGGAUGAUCAGCCACACUGGAACUGAGACACGGUCCAGACUCCUACGGGAGGCAGCAGUGGGGAAUAUUGGACAAUGGGCGCAAGCCUGAUCCAGCCAUACCGCGUGGGUGAAGAAGGCCUUCGGGUUGUAAAGCACUUUUGUUGGGAAAGAAAAGCAGCAGGUUAAUACCCCGCUGUUCUGACGGUACCCAAAGAAUAAGCACCGGCUAACUUCGUG
Molecule: ribosomal RNA, 492 nt
Filed under: uncultured bacterium
Lineage: Bacteria
Description: partial 16S ribosomal RNA
Rfam family: Bacterial small subunit ribosomal RNA
Source: RNAcentral